RNAcentral lists this ribosomal RNA (679 nucleotides) under uncultured Acinetobacter sp. RNAcentral describes it as "bacterial SSU rRNA". It matches the Rfam family "Bacterial small subunit ribosomal RNA", at positions 49 to 723 of the family's 1533-position model. Lineage: Bacteria; Pseudomonadati; Pseudomonadota; Gammaproteobacteria; Moraxellales; Moraxellaceae. The record is from RNAcentral.
UUACACAUGCAAGUCGAGCGGAGUGAGGNACUUGCACCUUAUCUUAGCGGCGGACGGGUGAGUAAUGCUUAGGAAUCUGCCUAUUAGUGGGGGACAACAUUCCGAAAGGAAUGCUAAUACCGCAUACGUCCUACGGGAGAAAGCAGGGGAUCUUCGGACCUUGCGCUAAUAGAUGAGCCUAAGUCGGAUUAGCUAGUUGGUGGGGUAAAGGCCUACCAAGGCGACGAUCUGUAGCGGGUCUGAGAGGAUGAUCCGCCACACUGGGACUGAGACACGGCCCAGACUCCUACGGGAGGCAGCAGUGGGGAAUAUUGGAUAAUGGGGGGAACCCUGAUCCAGCCAUGCCGCGUGUGUGAAGAAGGCCUUAUGGUUGUAAAGCACUUUAAGCGAGGAGGAGGCUACUGAGACUAAUACUCUUGGAUAGUGGACGUUACUCGCAGAAUAAGCACCGGCUAACUCUGUGCCAGCAGCCGCGGUAAUACAGAGGGUGCGAGCGUUAAUCGGAUUUACUGGGCGUAAAGCGUGCGUAGGCGGCUUUUUAAGUCGGAUGUGAAAUCCCCGAGCUUAACUUGGGAAUUGCAUUCGAUACUGGGAAGCUAGAGUAUGGGAGAGGAUGGUAGAAUUCCAGGUGUAGCGGUGAAAUGCGUAGAGAUCUGGAGGAAUACCGAUGGCGAAGGCA